RNAcentral lists this long non-coding RNA (1833 nucleotides) under Lathyrus oleraceus (garden pea). Its description in RNAcentral is "Pisum sativum (pea) long non-coding RNA (PSAT_LNC038368)". The record is from RNAcentral. Lineage: Eukaryota; Viridiplantae; Streptophyta; Magnoliopsida; Fabales; Fabaceae.
AAAAUUCUACACAAAAUUACAUGUUUUGACAUAGGGUUGACUUUUGGUCAAUAAUUGACUUUUUGGUCAAAUAGUUGACCAAAGUCAAUUAGUUGUCCUAAACCCUAAUCCCACUUUUUAUUCAUCCUCUAGGACAUCCCAUCCUCUAAGGUCUUCUUCAUAUGCCAUGACUUGCCAAAGGUCUUCAUGAUCUACAUGACUCCAUGCCAACCUUGAUCCACACUUUGCCAAAAAAAUUGUUUCAUAUCAAGAUCAUACCAGCCCUGCACUGCAGCAAGUGGAAACAAAUUAGCAUUAUGCACAAAGCCAAAACCAACCAUUCAAGUGCAUGAUAAUCAAGCCAUACAAGCUUAGCAUAAACAUAGUGCAAACAAUUCAAACAUAGCCACAAAACCAUUAUAAAAUCACCAACAAUCCAAGAACCAAUUCAACGUGCAUAAGUUAAAAAGAAACAUAGUCACUAACAAUAACAUACAUGACAAAUAACAUCCCACUUUAUUGUCAAAAAUUCAAGAAGUCAUUCGUAACAAUCAUCAUGUUUAACUAGGCAUCACAAUACAAAUAAACAAACCAACACAAGACCAUAAUCAUUUAACUAUUUGAUUCCAGUUAUUGAUUCAACUCUUUUAUAUUAGCUUACUCUAUUCCAUAACAAUCCAAAUAUAGUUCACACUAACAGUUAGUACCUCACGUGACAUAUCUUACUAACCUGGCUCAAUUUAUAACACCCAUUAACAUUCAUUUCAUAAUUAAUUUUUGAAUUUGUUAAGUAACCAACUCCUAAUUGUCAAUUAAAACCAUUAACAGAAAAAUGCCAAGUCCAAAGCAUUGCACUAAUUCAAAUUCAAGUAACCAUGCAGUUAAAAUUCCUAACUUCUAACAGUUUCUCAUGACAAAGUUUCAGUUUGAAUUAACUCUCUAAUCUGACAAUGCCAACUUGCUUUAAUAAUACAAAUCAACAAAGGUCCAUAAGUGUCAUAAGCACUAAAUGAUGUAAUUUGCUAACAGUUUUCAUGUCUAAAAGUACACACAACCAAAUUCUUACUGUCAAUUUAAUCCAAACUAAUUUCUAAUUACACAAAUUCACUAACUACUUCACUAACUAUCAAAGCUGACUUCUAACUUACUAACUUCAAAUUUCAAAACAAUGUCAUAACUUUCUAAUUCACAAUUUUCACAUCAAGCCAAUUUCCCACAACAAGUCAAUCCACUAGUUUCAAACUAAUUCUAAAUUCAAUACUAACUAUCUUAAUUUCCAAUUCAAACAACCAACUGUAACUAUAACUCCAAUUUGUUAAUAACUAACUGACAUUUUCAAUCCUUCACUAUACUAAUUCACCCUAACUUUCUAACCAUUUAAUUCUAACUGGCAACUCACUUCAACUCUUCACUAACUUAGACUAACUUCUUCAUAACUUCAAACUGUCAACCUAACAAUAUCACUAACUCCAUUUAACUAAUCUCAUUCUAACUUCAACACAUUCUAACAUAACAGUUGCAAUGGGGUAGAAACUCAUUAACAAAAUUCGAAUUCAACAUAACCAAUAUCACCAUCCUAACUAACACCUCAAUCCAAACUCAAACGGAUUUUAACAGAAGCAUUAACAGUGUUAAAGUUCCAACUAACUUUCCUCUCAAAUUUCACUAACAGAAGUCGUUUUGAGAUUGAGAGAGAGGGAGUGAAAACGAGAUGGUUGAAUAAUGUAUGAGGUCGUUUGGACCUUCGCCGCCGUCGAAGGCGAUUUCCGAUGCGAUGAGGUUUGUUCUCCGGUGAGGCUGUUGGAAGAGGGGCUUGAGAGAGUUGAAGAGAGGUGAAUGUGGAAAUGAUUUCUU